RNAcentral lists this ribosomal RNA (207 nucleotides) under uncultured bacterium. RNAcentral describes it as "partial 16S ribosomal RNA". It matches the Rfam family "Bacterial small subunit ribosomal RNA", at positions 568 to 774 of the family's 1533-position model. The record is from RNAcentral.
UGCGUAGGCGGUUCGUUAAGUAGGGUGUGAAGGCCCCUGGCUCAACCAGGGAAUGGCACUCUAAACUGGCGGGCUAGAGUGAGAUAGGGGUGUCCGGAACUGCCGGUGGAGCGGUGAAAUGUGUUGAUAUCGGCAGGAACGCCGGUGGCGAAAGCGGGACACUGGGUCUCAACUGACGCUGAGGCACGAAAGCCAGGGGAGCGAACG